UGCGUUAUGCUACUACGAUUUCAGCCGAAGAGAGUGCGAAAUCUCGCAUGUAAUUCGUUGUGAGCAUCUUAGUGUCCGCUGAUAUGGGGAUAGAAAAUUCGUAAAUGACUAGAUUGCCGACUUAACUGGCGCGGCAUGCGAUAAAGCGAUCGUGUGUGUACAUGUAUCCAUAUAUACUAUCAUCAUAUUAAAUAUAUAUAUUAAAAAAAUAGUGACAGCGAGAGACAAAAUCACGGAUGGGAUAAGAGUAUUUCGUGUAGAUUGUGAAAAAAAACGCAACGCAAAAAAUUUUCCUAAACGAAGCCGACGAAAACGCUUACAUGUAUAUACAACAACGAUUACGGACGUAGAGUCUAGAAAAACAGUGAGAUGAUAUUUACAUUCAUUGGCAGUAUUGUUCCCGAUUCGUGCGAGUCAAGGGCGUGGAGAUCUUGAGGCGGAUUCGAGUCUCGCUCGUCCGUCUCCUAAUUCGCAUCGUUCGUUCUCAUACCCGGCGUGACGCGACUUCUCACUACGUUGCUCUUUAAUUAGGCGAAAAGAAGAUUCUACACUAGAGAGCAUCAAUAUACAGUGUGAGAUAUCUACGAGACACCGUACGGAGGUCUUUACUUCGAUAUAAAUAGGACACUCGCGUAAUUGCACGCGCAUUAUACGCGAAUGUGUGAGAGCAGGGGGGAAAAAAGUAAUCGACGCGCGUGGUCUAUUACCACGUUUUUGUCCUCCUUUGCUCCCAUUUUUUUUUCUUUUUCUCUAUUUCUCACUUUCUUUCGUUCCAUUUUUCAUUCUCUCUUUCCCUGUCGCACGCAGAAAUAGUAAAUUGGCACAUCAGUGCGCGAUGUCGAGCGUCGCGAGAUGCGUAAAUAUGUCACGAGGAAAAAUCUAGAUAAAUUUCCAACGAAAUCUUCUAUCAUUCGAUUCUCGCUAUAAAAAGAAUGCGCGUACUAAUUAUAUGAGAGAUACAUAUAGCUAUGUCGAAUAAAUAAAUAUAUAUAUAUGUGUGUGUGUGUGUGUGUGUAUGUGUAUGUAUGUGUGUAUGAUAAUAUAUAAUAGAGUCGGAAGAGAUGAAGGGAAACUUGAUGCCGUAUCGUGUUCGCAUUAUUAUUUCAGAACUCGAAUCGUCAGAUUGCACGAGUCCGAUAAUGCAAGGCGAGUAUGGACAUACGUCAAUGUGUCCCUGGAAUACAAGCCUCUUCUCCGCAGUAUAUCCGGAUCGAGAUAAAAUUAAAUGAUUGAAUGUAAAUUGAAGUAACACAUUCACUUUCGAUGCAUUAACGUUCGCGUAAGUGACACCCGACAGUCAGACCGGUGAUGAUAAGUUACGCAACAACAACCUCGCCAAAGUUUCGAAAAACAACCGAUUUUCUUCAAAGGAAUGUUGCAACCACUAAAAGUACGAUUGAGCAUUUAUAAAAACAAAAAAAAAUAUCUUUAUUUAGUCCAGAAAAAAAAACAUUCAAAGCUCAUCAAAAUUGGAGAGGAACACUUUCAUGGAUUUUCUUAUCGGGACGUGCCGGUCUUAGCCUGGCCGGUCUUCUACCGCCGCGUUGCGCCAAUCGCACCAGGGCGGCACCCUCGUGUAA
Molecule: long non-coding RNA, 1580 nt
Filed under: Acromyrmex echinatior (Panamanian leafcutter ant)
Lineage: Eukaryota; Metazoa; Arthropoda; Insecta; Hymenoptera; Formicidae
Description: uncharacterized LOC105151551, transcript variant X1
Source: RNAcentral